GAUCAUGGCUCAGGAUGAACGCUAGCUACAGGCUUAACACAUGCAAGUCGAGGGGCAGCAUGGAAGAAGCUUGCUUCUUCUGAUGGCGACCGGCGCACGGGUGCGUAACGCGUAUCAAACCUGCCUCAUACUCGGGGAUAGCCUUGCGAAAGUAAGAUUAAUACCCGAUGUUGUUAUGUUACCGCAUGGUGAUAUAACCAAAGAUUUAUCGGUAUGAGAUGGUGA
RNAcentral lists this ribosomal RNA (225 nucleotides) under uncultured bacterium. RNAcentral's name for it is "partial 16S ribosomal RNA". It matches the Rfam family "Bacterial small subunit ribosomal RNA", at positions 15 to 231 of the family's 1533-position model. The record is from RNAcentral.